This 529-nucleotide ribosomal RNA is filed under the name bacterium enrichment culture clone Jdg024. Its description in RNAcentral is "bacterial SSU rRNA". It matches the Rfam family "Bacterial small subunit ribosomal RNA", at positions 1 to 527 of the family's 1533-position model. The record is from RNAcentral.
UUAGAGUUUGAUCAUGGCUCAGGAUGAACGCUAGCUACAGGCUUAACACAUGCAAGUCGAGGGGCAGCAUUGGAGUAGCAAUACUUCAGAUGGCGACCGGCGCACGGGUGAGUAACACGUAUCCAACCUGCCGCUUACUCGGGGAUAGCCUUUCGAAAGAAAGAUUAAUACCCGAUGGUAUAAAGAGUUCGCAUGUUCUCUUUAUUAAAGAAUUUCGGUAAGCGAUGGGGAUGCGUUCCAUUAGAUUGUUGGCGGGGUAACGGCCCACCAAGUCUACGAUGGAUAGGGGUUCUGAGAGGAAGGUCCCCCACAUUGGAACUGAGACACGGUCCAAACUCCUACGGGAGGCAGCAGUGAGGAAUAUUGGUCAAUGGGCGCGAGCCUGAACCAGCCAAGUAGCGUGAAGGAUGACGGCCCUAUGGGUUGUAAACUUCUUUUAUAAGGGAAUAAAGUGAGGGACGUGUCCCUUUUUGUAUGUACCUUAUGAAUAAGGAUCGGCUAACUCCGUGCCAGCAGCCGCGGUAAUACA